AUGAGUCAGCUGGGUCGC
Molecule: unclassified non-coding RNA, 18 nt
Filed under: Chlamydomonas reinhardtii
Lineage: Eukaryota; Viridiplantae; Chlorophyta; Chlorophyceae; Chlamydomonadales; Chlamydomonadaceae
Description: small RNA Cre_0728
Source: RNAcentral